UAAAGGCUGCAAUGGGAUAAAAAGCCCAAAUAUAAAGUAUCGUAGAAGUGCGACUUUAUGCGAAAGCUAAAGAUGAAGAUCGAACGAUACGUAUUUCUGUGUACCUUUCUUGUAAUAGGGAUGCUGACUGUUGAGGGUGAAAGCUUUGGAAAUCUUAUUCCGCAUGGGAAAAAGAUACUGUAUAAAAGAAAGCUUGGGAAUUCUGCAAGUGCGUGCUGUGCUGGACAACCAAGCAAAGAAUCCAAUGGUUAUCGAGAUGACGUUUGGACAAGAAACAACGACGCAAGCGAACAAGAGAAAAAUUACAUUUGAAUUAAAUGGAAAUUUUCUUAGAAUUUAAGGUGUUCGACAGACGGAGGGAAGCAAAGAUGAUAGCGUAGACCUUUGGAGAGACAGUAAUGAAAAUUAAAACUGAUGAAAUUUGUAAAUUUUAUUACACCGUCAAAGUCGCCAUUAAAAGAAUUAGACUACAAA
Molecule: long non-coding RNA, 474 nt
Organism: Stylophora pistillata
Lineage: Eukaryota; Metazoa; Cnidaria; Anthozoa; Scleractinia; Pocilloporidae
Source: RefSeq, a predicted model, not a curated record